Molecule: transfer RNA, 76 nt
Filed under: Alphaproteobacteria bacterium
Lineage: Bacteria; Pseudomonadati; Pseudomonadota; Alphaproteobacteria
Description: tRNA-Phe
Rfam family: tRNA
About the family: Transfer RNA (tRNA) molecules are approximately 80 nucleotides in length.
Source: RNAcentral
GCCUGGGUAGCUCAGCUGGUAGAGCAACGGAUUGAAAAUCCGUGUGUCGGCGGUUCAAACCCGACUCCAGGCACCA